AGCAGCCGCGGUAAUUCCAGCUCUAAUAGCGUAUAUUAAAGUUGCUGCAGUUAAAAAGCUCGUAGUUGAAUUUCGGGACUAAUAUGUCGGUCGUGCCUCGGUACGUACUGGCUUAUUGGUUUCUCCUUUCUGAAGUACCAUGAUGUCAUUUAUUUGGUGUCGUGGGGAAUCAGGACUGUUACUUUGAAAAAUUAGAGUGUUUAAAGCAGGCUCACGCUUGAAUACAUUAGCAUGGAAUAAUGAAAUAGGACGUUUGAUUCUAUUUUGUUGGUUUCUAGGAUCGACGUAAUGAUUAAUAGGGAUAGUUGGGGGCAUUAGUAUUCAAUUGUCAGAGGUGAAAUUCUUGGAUUUAUUGAAGACUAACUACUGCGAAAGCAUUUGCCAAGGAUGUUUUCAUUAAUCAAGAACGAAAGUUAGGGGAUCGAAGACGAUCAGAUACCGUCGUAGUCUUAACCAUAAACUAUGCCGACUAGGGAUCGGAUGAUGUAAUUUUUAAUGACU
Molecule: ribosomal RNA, 501 nt
Filed under: uncultured Glomus
Lineage: Eukaryota; Fungi; Glomeromycota; Glomeromycetes; Glomerales; Glomeraceae
Description: SSU rRNA
Rfam family: Eukaryotic small subunit ribosomal RNA
Source: RNAcentral